GUGGGUUGUGUUAUGUAGUUGAAGUAAUCGUGUAUGAGGUGGGUUGGGUUAUGUAGUUGAAGUAAUCGUGUAUGAGGUGGGUUGUGUUAUGUAGUUGAAGUAAUCGUGUAUGAGGUGGGUUGUGUUUAUGUAGUUGAAGUAAUCGUGUAUGAGGUGGGUUGUGUUUAUGUAGUUGAAGUAAUCGUGUAUGAGGUGGGUUGUGUUUAUGUAGUUGAAGUAAUCGUGUAUGAGGUGGGUUGUGUUUAUGUAGUUGAAGUAAUCGUGUAUGAGGUGGGUUGUGUUAUGUAGUUGAAGUAAUCGUGUAUGAGGUGGGUUGUGUUUAUGUAGUUGAAGUAAUCGUGUAUGAGGUGGGUUGUGUUAUGUAGUUGAAGUAAUCGUGUAUGAGAUGGGUUGUGUUAUGUAGUUGAAGUAAUCGUGUAUGAGGUGGGUUGUGUUUAUGUAGUUGAAGUAAUCGUGUAUGAGGUGGGUUGUGUUUAUGUAGUUGAAGUAAUCGUGUAUGAGGUGGGUUGUGUUUAUGUAGUUCAUGAAAAUAUAAUUUUCUUGAGAAGUUAUUUGUCUUGAAUAACUACUUUCCAAGUGUUAAAAGAAUAUUCAGGGCUUUUAUAAAAUGUCUGAGACAAGCUCUGCCAGUCCAAAUCUCAAUGGCAGGAUGUACAUCAAAUUUGACACCACACCUAUUUUACAAGCCUCCCUUCUUCUGACCGCUAAGGACCCCAUUUAUUCAACAUUUGCACUUUGCAUCAGGUAUCAAGAUUGCACAGUAAGUUUACCAUAGGGAAUUGGACAUAAAAGGUUAAAUGAAAAGGUAAGAAUAAAGGUUCUGAAAGUGAACCAUUUAUCAAGUAUAAAUGAAGACAGUUUGCUGUUUUAGCUUUGGUGUUUCAUCCAAUAAAAACAGGUGCAAACUUUUCACCAG
RNAcentral lists this long non-coding RNA (916 nucleotides) under Salmo salar (Atlantic salmon). RNAcentral describes it as "lncRNA (ENSSSAG00000088454.1)". Lineage: Eukaryota; Metazoa; Chordata; Actinopteri; Salmoniformes; Salmonidae. The record is from RNAcentral.